This is a long non-coding RNA of Anthonomus grandis grandis, 3654 nucleotides long. RefSeq lists it as uncharacterized. The transcript has 2 exons. Lineage: Eukaryota; Metazoa; Arthropoda; Insecta; Coleoptera; Curculionidae. The record is from RefSeq and is a predicted model, not a curated record.
UCGUCGGCGACGACUCGUCGCACUGAAUCGCCGUCGUCAUCCCCGAAAUAGAUUGGUUUCGGAUCGGGAUUCGCUCUAGUGCCACUGACUGCUAGUUUAUAAGUUAUUUAUUUGUUUUGUACGCUAAAGUGUGGUAAAUUUGUGUAGAAAAAAUAUAAUAAGGGUUAAUUAUGAAGCCAAAAAGUGAUAUUUGGAAGUUUUUUUUUAGAAAAAACGUGCAAUAAUAAGACUGUGUACGAAUGUAAAUAUUGUGGCAAGAUUUAUACAAAUAAAAAUGCCACCAAAUUUACAAGGCAUAUUAAGAAAUGCAUUAAGUGCCCUAUUAUGCUGAAGAAUAAACUGUCUGAGAAAUCGAACUCAAACUCGGUGGGAUUGGCCAAAUUGAAUUAUUCUUCAGCUGGUGCAAGUGUUAAUGUUGGAUGUUCAGAACAAGAACCAGAAAGCAUCGACCUUGAUAUGCCUAUGAUUGAAGUAAAUGAGGAAGGUAACAGUUUAAGUUGCGCCAGUUCCGCAGGUUCCGCUUCAAUAGCAAUGCUUGAGUCUAAGUCUGCGAAGAUGUCCAGGUCUGUUUCAAAAUUCUUUGACACCAUGAAUACUAAAGAACAGGCACAAACUGACACACUAUUGGCAAGGGCCCUCUAUGCAACAGGUGUAUCUUUCUCACUUUUUGAACACCCAUUAUGGGAGGAACUAUUUCAUAAAUUGCGACCUGCAUAUAAGCUACCAACCAGAAAAGUUUUGUCGACAACUCUUUUGGAGAAAGAAUUUUUGUUAGUUAAAGAACAAGUCGAGAAAAACAUAGAAUCAUCCGUUAAUCUGAAUUUAGCAUUGGAUGGAUAGUCUAACAUUAGGAAUGAAGGGAUCUUAAAUUUUAUUGUGUAUACACCCAAUCCAUAUUUUUAUUCUUUUGUUGAAACUAAGAGGAACAGACAUACUUCUGAAUAUUUACUGUCUGAAAUAGUUGGGAUUAUAGAAAAACUAGGGCCUGAAAAAUUUCUAGUGCUUAUUUCAGACAAUGCUUCCAAUAUGUUAAAAUGUGGAAGACUUCUCAAUGAAAAGUACUCUCAUAUAAUAUGGAUAGGUUGUAUGGCUCACACUCUCCACUUGAUAAUUAACGACAUUUUACAAUGUGAAACGGCUAAAAAAUUGUUUAAUUGUUGUGUGGAAAUCAUAAAAACCAUAAGAAAUUCACAGUUGUUAACAGCGGAAUUUAAACAACUAAACAUUGAAAAAAGUAUACAAUCCUCUUUACAUUUGCCAGUGAAAACGCGCUGGGGAAGUUACUUGGAGUGUCUAAAUAGUUUAGUCGUUACAAAAUGUGUAUUACAAACAAUGGCAAUAAACGAAGAUGCCAUAAAGACUUUCACAAAUUAUAAACAAACUUUACUAAAUGAUCAGUUUUGGUCAGAUUUAGAAAACUUUCGCAGUCUUUUGAAACCAAUUGUACAUUGGAUUACGUAUUUAGAAGGUGACUACAACACCAUUCACGUAGUCCAUUAGGCAUCUUUAGAAAUAGAAAAAAACCUGGAACAGUUUUUACCUCUGACAUUUCGUACCACUGAUGCUGGUUUAAUUACGCAAAAAUUCAAAGAUAGAAGACUACGCGCUUUAAAACCUAUUCAUUUAGCAGCUUGCCUGUUGGAUCCCAGAAGCCAAGGAUUAAUAAUGUCAGCACAAGAACGAAUUGAGGGUUGCGAAGCCAUAUAUCGAAUAGGUCAAAAUAUGAACACCGUCGAUGAUCAAAAUGUUAUGGUACAGAUCCCGAGAGGGUCUUUGGGGAAAAGAGUUUGUUUGGAAAACUGCUGAAAACAAAAAGCUCAGUGCUUUGUUAUGGUGGAAAACCUUUUAUCAAAAUACUAAGUUCGGAAAACUUGCAAUAAGAAUUUUAAGUGUACCUUCAACAUCUGCUUCUGUGGAAAGGUCAUUUUCUACGUUUUCGUUUAUUCAUGAUAAAAAACGGCAGAAAUUAAAUACCAACAGAGCGGGAAAAUUAUGUUAUAUAGCCCAUAAUUGGAAACUUAUGCACAGAUUGAAGGCGCCCACAACCAAGAAGACCGAGAUACCCAAAAAUACAACUGGUAACACUGAAUCAGCUUUGGUGAAAAAUAUAGCAACUCCAUCUUCUUCUAGAACCAUAGACACUAUUGAUGUAAAUGAAGAAGUUGACGAUCACAGUGCCAGUGAUACAAUGACAAAUAGUUAUUCUACUACCUCUCCAUCAUCAUGCUCCUACAUAUCGGAGUCUGAGUUUAAAGCAGAAUCGGAUAUUGACUUUUAUGGUAUCGAUGCAGCAAAUACCUCAACACCGUGAUUUUAUACAGUUAGGACAAUUUUUGGGAGAGAAUAUGGGGUCUGAUGGCGGUUUUUUGACGAACACAAAGAGGUUCGCAGCGCGCUCGUGGACGUCAGUUUGAUCGUAUUUCAAGUGUGUACGUCGACGUAUUGACACGAUGGGAGAGCAGUGGACGGAAGAAAAGUGUUUGAAUUUAAUUGAAAUUUACCAAAAUUAUCCAGUGUUAUGGGAUCCGAAAGACUCUGAUUUCUAUAAAAAAAAUUGAAAGCAGAUGCGUGGGAGAGAGAGAGGUGCAGUUUGCUGUUUUUAAAAACUCCUCCGUCCGAAAUCCUUCCUUGACAGCCGGCAUCCACGUAAAGAAUGUUAUAAUUUGCAUCCACCAGUGCAAAGAGAACGAGGACAAAUGGAGCUUGUAAUAAUACAUGUUUCCCGUCCAUCGCCCCAAUGCAAUUGGGAAAAUUCCACAAAACAUUAAAAUCGUCUGAAAUAGUUUUCCACUCUUCACAGUUGUUAGGAAUCUGCAACAAAGGAACCAAUCAAUAUUUUUUAAUGUUUAUUCAUAUAUAUUUGAGGAAAAAAAAUAUAUAAUAUUGUAUAAUUUCCAAUAUUGUUUCAGGAGAGUAAUGGGAUGAAGACAGGACAUGGUGAAAUAGCUGAAAAAGACAGCUUAGCAACACCAGAAGUAGCGCCAGAGCCACCAAGGAAAUCGGCAAAACUGGAUCCAAAAUUACAAAUGCUGAAAGAGGCUUUUGGAAUCUUAAAAACUGCUUCAUCAAAACCAACUGAUCCAAUAAGCAAUAUAAAAAAUUACGAAAUUAGAAGUUUUUUGGAAUUCGUCGGAAGUAAAAUGACAAAGUAUUCCGAAAACACUAAAAACGCUGUGCAAGAAGGCAUAUGCGACUUAAUUUUCAAGGCAGACAGGCAUUACUGUGAUAAUAAUGUUAACAUUCAACCUGUUUACUCCAACUCGAUACGACCAGGUGAAUACCAUGCAGCACCGAGUACAUCCGGAUAUGUGUUACAUGUUCUUACUCAACUAGAUCGACAUCCCUCUCAGCAUUCCCAAGACCAAGAAUCUCUGGCUCAGUCAUCCUCAAACCUGCCAUCCCGACAGUCGUCUCCAAAGCAGCUAGCUUCAGAUCAUCCAUACUCAGAGUAUUUCGGAGCGUCUACAAUCACAAAGCAAUUUAUGUCUUCAAAAGACUCUCAAUGCCCUAUCUCAAUCUCCUAUUCAGAUACAUUCAGGACAACCAUCACCAAAUUGUCAGCCAUCUCCGCAUAGUGAAUUGUCAGAGUUACUUAAUAUGGACUUUAUGAGGUAUAGGUAUAGUUUAAAGAAUAAUAAAAAUAUCUUACCUUCA